Molecule: ribosomal RNA, 483 nt
Filed under: uncultured Chitinophaga sp.
Lineage: Bacteria; Pseudomonadati; Bacteroidota; Chitinophagia; Chitinophagales; Chitinophagaceae
Description: partial 16S ribosomal RNA
Source: RNAcentral
CACGGAGUUAGCCGGUGCUUAUUCAUCUGGUACCGUCAAGAUCGCUAGAAAGCAACCAUUUCUUCCCAGAUAAAAGAAGUUUACAAUCCAGAGGACCUUCAUCCUCCACGCGGCAUGGCUGGUUCAGACUUGCGUCCAUUGACCAAUAUUCCUUACUGCUGCCUCCCGUAGGAGUCGGGCCCGUGUCUCAGUGCCCGUGUGACUGGUCGCGCUCUCACGCCAGUUACUGAUCGUCGGCUUGGUGAGCCGUUACCUCACCAACUACCUAAUCAGACGCACGCCCAUCUUCAAGUGAUAAAUCUUUAAUUGCUGAUCGAUGCCGAUCCACAAUCCUAUGGGAUAUUAAUCCGGAUUUCUCCGGGCUAUCUCCCGCUUGAAGGAAGGUUGCGUACGUGUUCCGCACCCGUUUGCCGGUCGCCAGCGAGUAUUGCUACCCCUGCUGCCCCUCGACUUGCAUGUAUUAGGCCUGCCGCUAGCGUUCAU